RNAcentral lists this ribosomal RNA (422 nucleotides) under uncultured cyanobacterium. RNAcentral describes it as "bacterial SSU rRNA". It matches the Rfam family "Bacterial small subunit ribosomal RNA", at positions 358 to 795 of the family's 1533-position model. Lineage: Bacteria; Bacillati; Cyanobacteriota. The record is from RNAcentral.
GGAAUUUUCCGCAAUGGGCGAAAGCCUGACGGAGCAACGCCGCGUGAGGGAUGAAGGCCUCUGGGCUGUAAACCUCUUUUCUCAAGGAAGAAGAUCUGACGGUACUUGAGGAAUAAGCCACGGCUAAUUCCGUGCCAGCAGCCGCGGUAAUACGGGAGUGGCAAGCGUUAUCCGGAAUUAUUGGGCGUAAAGCGUCCGCAGGCGGUCUGUCAAGUCUGCUGUUAAAGCGUGGAGCUUAACUCCAUUUCGGCAGUGGAAACUGACAGACUAGAGUGUGGUAGGGGCAGAGGGAAUUCCCGGUGUAGCGGUGAAAUGCGUAGAUAUCGGGAAGAACACCAGUGGCGAAGGCGCCCUGCUGGGCCAUAACUGACGCUCAUGGACGAAGGCCAGGGGAGCGAAAGGGAUUAGAUACCCCAGUAGUC